UGGAGCAGGAGGCGAGGUUUGGUAGCAAGAACUUCCAGGCACAGGGCUGUAGUAGGCCCCUCUCUUAAUGGUAACCAGGACCGAAAUCGGGUUUCACAACCUACUUGUUUUAGGGUGGAAAAACUUGAAUUUCCACAACCAAGUGCCACACAGUUGCUGUACCCGGGGCCAUCCCGGGAGCUGUGAGAUAAUGAGCCGGUGAGACUCUGCUCCACCCUGGGAAGGUGAGCUAGUCUAGAGGAGCAUAUCUGAUGGGGACAAGAAGUCUCAAAAAGGCUGUGUGGUGUGUAGAGAAGGGGAGGGACUCUACUGUUGAGGCUUCAGUAUUUUAGCACUUGCCCAGCACCUCCUUCUCUCUUCCAGCUGCCUCUUGAGUCACUGCCCGGUUUAGGGAGCAGUAACAUAAACCAAACAGUUGCCUCCAAAAUACGCAUUCUGAGGAGGAUUCAGUCACCGAUUCAGAUCCAAGCUUGAAAUUUUUACGUGGCAUGUGAGCCUUCCGUGUCAUCAUGACUUACUAAUUUAUGUGAAUGUAGAAAUGCAACGACAAAGACUGGGCUGAAUCUUAAUCAUUGGCAAAUGGUGUGCAUUAUCCCCAAACAAUUAUGUGGUCGAUAGCGUAUAUACUCGAUAUGUACAAAGAUUUUCUCAGAAAUUAAAAGUCUUUCUCUGAAGUAGUUUUCCUGUGGGGAGGGGAAAAAAACACCAUAGGUUCUAAUGAAUACAUCAUACAUCGCUGAUAUUUAUUAUACUAAUAACUGAAAGUAAAUUUGAGGCCUUUGGAGACAGUCGUUUUUAAAUUUGGGAAUACAAAAAAAGAUGAUGCUGAUGAGAAAUUAGUAAAGAAUCCUGAGGUUUAUGGAUCCUCAGACAGGAAGAAGUAAGAGGAAGGUCAAUGCAGGAUCUUACAGGGAUUUGGUUUUGUAGUUCUUAUUGCUUAAAUUUGCUUCCAGGUGGCAGCUGUAAUUGCAAGGUGACUCACAUACAGUGUUUAUAUUCACCUGAGGCCGACCUGAGUUCUAGUUGAGGUUCUUAGAGCUCUGUCACUGUAUCCAGCAGAGCCUGAAUUACUAGAUAGUUAACACCCUCAGAAAGCCCUGUUUGUAUAUUAACUUUAGACAACCUUAUUAUUAAAAGUGUUGCUAUUGUUUAGGCAAAAUUUAAUUUUUGCAAAAUGGUUUAUAAUAAUUUAUUAGGCAACAUUGAAGACUUGCUUCUGAAUAAAGUCUGUAGGUUUUAUAAAGGAAAUCAGUCACUUAGUGGCAGCUACAGACAAAGCUCACACUUUUUAAAAAUUAACAAAAGUAAAAUGAUGAAAAAUAAAUUGGAUUCCAUUGCUAUCUAAACUCUAUAUUCCAGUUUUUCUGCUUUUUAAGUAACCAACACUGCUCGUGUUAGAAUUCUGAAUUUAUGAAGUCCCUUACAGAACAUUUUUCUCUGUACUAAAACACAGCUUGAGAGUCUGUUAUCUGAACUCUGGGUCUUUAGGUCUUUCUAGAGCCAAGUUUCAGGUCUAUGUACAGAUGAACAAUUCUGAAAUACACUCUACACACUGAGGAACCUUCAGUAACACCACAUUACCUACAGAAUAAAAUCCAAAUUGUGUCUUGCUCACCACAGGUUGGUUUCAGUCUUUCUUUUCAGCUUCAUCUCUUACUUCUCCGCUUCAGGGACCCCAUCUACUGUCCCCCAAAUGUACUGACUCAUUUCUUUUUCAGAGUCUUUGACUACACUCUCCCAUCUUUUCUUCACCUGUCUGAUUCCAGUCAAUCUUUCAAGACUCAGCUCAUUUCAAACCUCCUCAGAGGAUCCUUUCCUGACUUCCACUCUCCUAGCCGUCAUUGGCAAAGCCAUGUCCUCAUGCACAGUCAUGGGGCAUGGCCGAGGAUUAUAUAAGAAGAGCUGUUCCUAGUGCAGUUGGCGCCUGCAGGAAACCAUGAUGUGGCAUCUACAAAGCUCAUCGCAGAUCAAGUCUUCAGCAGACAUCAUGUGACCUUGAGGAUGGAUGUCACAUGCUGGAGGAAACAGAAGGCCGAAACCCUGAUGACUUCACGGAGCUGCCAAAACAGUUCCUGACUGUUUACUCCGGGACUUUAACAAAGUGAUAAAAAUAAAUCCUUACAGUAUGAAAA
Cercocebus atys (sooty mangabey) is the source of this 2132-nucleotide long non-coding RNA. RefSeq lists it as uncharacterized. The record is from RefSeq and is a predicted model, not a curated record. NCBI's taxonomy places the organism in Eukaryota, Metazoa, Chordata, Mammalia, Primates, Cercopithecidae. The transcript has 3 exons.